CCUACGGGAGGCAGCAGUGGGGAAUAUUGGACAAUGGGGGCAACCCUGAUCCAGCCAUGCCGCGUGUGUGAAGAAGGCCCUCGGGUUGUAAAGCACUUUCAGUGAGGAAGAACGCCUGGUGGUUAAUACCCAUCAGGAAAGACAUCACUCACAGAAGAAGCACCGGCUAACUCCGUGCCAGCAGCCGCGGUAAUACGGAGGGUGCGAGCGUUAAUCGGAAUUACUGGGCGUAAAGCGCGCGUAGGUGGCUUGAUAAGCCGGUUGUGAAAGCCCCGGGCUCAACCUGGGAACGGCAUCCGGAACUGUCAAGCUAGAGUGCAGGAGAGGAAGGUAGAAUUCACGGUGUAGCGGUGAAAUGCGUAGAGAUCGGGAGGAAUACCAGUGGCGAAGGCGGCCUUCUGGACUGACACUGACACUGAGGUGCGAAAGCGUGGGUAGCAAACAGGAUUAGCUACCCUGGUAGUC
Molecule: ribosomal RNA, 465 nt
Filed under: Vreelandella stevensii
Lineage: Bacteria; Pseudomonadati; Pseudomonadota; Gammaproteobacteria; Oceanospirillales; Halomonadaceae
Description: partial 16S ribosomal RNA
Rfam family: Bacterial small subunit ribosomal RNA
Source: RNAcentral